AGAGUUUGAUCAUGGCUCAGAAUGAACGCUGGCGGCGUGCCUAACACAUGCAAGUCGAACGAGAAAGCUCCUUCGGGAGCAAGUACAGUGGCGAACGGUUGAGUAACACGUGAGAAUCUGCCCUUCAGUGAAGAAUACCCUCGAGAAAUCGAGGUUAAUGCUGCAUAAUUCCCUUCGGGGAUAAAGGUGGCCUCUUUGCUGCCGCUGAAGGAUGAGCUUGCGGACUAUCAGUUAGUUGGUAGGGUAAUGGCCUACCAAGACUAUGACGGUUAGCCGGCCUGAGAGGGUGAUCGGCCAGACUGGAACUUAGACACGGUCCAGACUCCUACGGGAGGCAGCAGUGGGGAAUCUUGCGCAAUGGGCGAAAGCCUGACGCAGCGACGCCGCGUGGAGGAUGAAGGCCUUCGGGUUGUAAACUCCUGUUAAGUGGGAAGAAAUCUUUAUCUCUAAUAUAGAUAGAGGAUGACGGUACCACUAGAGAAAGCACUGGCUAACCUCGUGCCAGCAGCCGCGGUAAUACGAGGGGUGCAAGCGUUAUUCGAAAUUAUUGGGCGUAAAGGGUGCGUAGGUGGUUCAUUAAGUCAAUUGUUAAAUCUCCCGGCUUAACUGGGAACAAGCAGUCGAAACUGAUGAACUAGAGGAUAGAAGAGAGAAGUGGAAUUCUCGGAGUAGCGGUAAAAUGCGUAGAUCUCGAGAGGAACACCGAUGGCGAAGGCAGCUUCUUAGGCUAUACCUGACACUGAGGCACGAAAGCGUGGGGAGCAAACAGGAUUAGAUACCCUAGUAGUCC
Molecule: ribosomal RNA, 790 nt
Filed under: uncultured bacterium
Lineage: Bacteria
Description: bacterial SSU rRNA
Rfam family: Bacterial small subunit ribosomal RNA
Source: RNAcentral